This 402-nucleotide ribosomal RNA is filed under the name uncultured eukaryote. Its description in RNAcentral is "eukaryotic LSU rRNA". It matches the Rfam family "Eukaryotic large subunit ribosomal RNA", at positions 920 to 1318 of the family's 3401-position model. The record is from RNAcentral.
GGGGCGAAAGACUAAUCGAACCAUCGAGUAGCUGGUUCCCUCCGAAGUUUCCCUCAGGAUAGCUGGAACUUUUAUAAAUAGUUUUAUCAGGUAAAGCGAAUGAUUAGAAGCUCUGGGGAUGAAACAUCCUCGACUUAUUCUCAAACUUAAAUAGGUAAGAUGAUUGCAGUACUUGAUUGACUGUCAGUCUCUUGAAUAGUAAGUUCUUAGUGGGCCAUUUUUGGUAAGCAGAACUGGCGAUGUGGGAUGAACCAAACGUAAAGUUAAAAGUGCCUAAAAAUACGUUCAUCAGACACCACAAAAGGUGUUGACUCAUCUUGACAGUUGGACAGUGGCCAUGGAAGUCGGAAUCUGCUAAGGAGUGUGUAACAACUCACCAACCGAAUGAAUUAGCCCUGAAAA